This 634-nucleotide ribosomal RNA is filed under the name Penicillium citrinum. Its description in RNAcentral is "eukaryotic LSU rRNA". It matches the Rfam family "Eukaryotic large subunit ribosomal RNA", at positions 1 to 649 of the family's 3401-position model. Lineage: Eukaryota; Fungi; Ascomycota; Eurotiomycetes; Eurotiales; Aspergillaceae. The record is from RNAcentral.
UUGACCUCGGAUCAGGUAGGGAUACCCGCUGAACUUAAGCAUAUCAAUAAGCGGAGGAAAAGAAACCAACCGGGAUUGCCCUAGUAACGGCGAGUGAAGCGGCAAGAGCUCAAAUUUGAAAGCUGGCCCCCUCGGGGUCCGCAUUGUAAUUUGCAGAGGAUGCUUCGGGAACGGCCCCCAUCUAAGUGCCCUGGAACGGGCCGUCAUAGAGGGUGAGAAUCCCGUCUGGGAUGGGGUGGCCGCGCCCGUGUGAAGCUCCUUCGACGAGUCGAGUUGUUUGGGAAUGCAGCUCUAAUUGGGUGGUAAAUUUCAUCUAAAGCUAAAUAUUGGCCGGAGACCGAUAGCGCACAAGUAGAGUGAUCGAAAGAUGAAAAGCACUUUGAAAAGAGAGUUAAACAGCACGUGAAAUUGUUGAAAGGGAAGCGCUUGCGACCAGACUCGCCCGCGGGGUUCAGCCGGCACUCGUGCCGGUGUACUUCCCCGCGGGCGGGCCAGCGUCGGUUUGGGCGGCCGGUCAAAGGCCUCUGGAAGGUAACGCCUCUCGGGGCGUCUUAUAGCCAGGGGUGCCAUGCGGCCUGCCCGGACCGAGGAACGCGCUUCGGCUCGGACGCUGGCAUAAUGGUCGUAAGCGACC